GUGGGGAAUAUUGGACAAUGGGCGAAAGCUGAUCCAGCCAUGCCGCGUGGGUGAAGAAGGUCUUCGGAUUGUAAAGCACUUUAAGUUGGGAGGAAGGGCAGUAAGGUAAUACCUUGCUGUUUUUACGUUACCGACAGAAUAAGCACCGGCUAACUUCGUGCCAGCAGCCGCGGUAAUACGAAGGGUGCAAGCGUUAAUCCGAAUUACUGGGCGUAAAGCGCGCGUAGGUGGUUUUGUAAGUUGGAGGUGAAAUCCCCGGGCUCAACCUGGGAACUGCCUCCAAAACUGCAUGACUAGAGUACGGUAGAGGGUAGUGGAAUUUCCUGGGUAGCGGUGAAAUGCGUAGAUAUAGGAAGGAACACCAGUGGCGAAGGCGACUACCUGGACUGAUACUGACACUGAGGUGCGAAAGCGUGGAGAGCAAACAGGAUUAGAAACCCGUGUAGUCC
This 449-nucleotide ribosomal RNA is filed under the name uncultured bacterium. RNAcentral describes it as "bacterial SSU rRNA". It matches the Rfam family "Bacterial small subunit ribosomal RNA", at positions 354 to 796 of the family's 1533-position model. The record is from RNAcentral.